CCUACGGGAGGCAGCAGUAGGGAAUCUUCGGCAAUGGACGAAAGUCUGACCGAGCAACGCCGCGUGAGUGAAGAAGGUUUUCGGAUCGUAAAACUCUGUUGUUAGAGAAGAACAAGUGAGAGAGUAACUGUUCUCACCUUGACGGUAUCUAACCAGAAAGCCACGGCUAACUACGUGCCAGCAGCCGCGGUAAUACGUAGGUGGCAAGCGUUGUCCGGAUUUAUUGGGCGUAAAGCGAGCGCAGGCGGUUCCUUAAGUCUGAUGUGAAAGCCCCCGGCUCAACCGGGGAAGGUCAUUGGAAACUGGGGAACUUGAGUGCAGAAGAGGAGAGUGGAAUUCCAUGUGUAGCGGUGAAAUGCGUAGAUAUAUGGAGGAACACCAGUGGCGAAGGCGACUCUCUGGUCUGUAACUGACGCUGAGGCUCGAAAGCGUGGGGAGC
RNAcentral lists this ribosomal RNA (439 nucleotides) under uncultured bacterium. RNAcentral's name for it is "bacterial SSU rRNA". It matches the Rfam family "Bacterial small subunit ribosomal RNA", at positions 338 to 769 of the family's 1533-position model. The record is from RNAcentral.